GACGAACGCUGGCGGCGUGCUUAACACAUGCAAGUCGAGCGGUAAGGCCCUUUCGGGGGUACACGAGCGGCGAACGGGUGAGUAACACGUGGGUGACCUGCCCUCAGCUCUGGGAUAAGCCUGGGAAACUGGGUCUAAUACCGGAUAUGACUCCAUGACGCAUGUUGUGGGGUGGAAAGCCUUGUGCGGCUGAGGAUGGGCCCGCGGCCUAUCAGCUUGUUGGUGGGGNGAUGGCCUACCAAGGCGACGACGGGUAGCCGGCCUGAGAGGGCGACCGGCCACACUGGGACUGAGACACGGCCCAGACUCCUACGGGAGGCAGCAGUGGGG
RNAcentral lists this ribosomal RNA (330 nucleotides) under uncultured bacterium. RNAcentral describes it as "bacterial SSU rRNA". It matches the Rfam family "Bacterial small subunit ribosomal RNA", at positions 28 to 359 of the family's 1533-position model. The record is from RNAcentral.